GAUGAACGCUAGCGGCAGGCUUAACACAUGCAAGUCGAGGGGCAGCAUGACGGAACCUUCGGGUUUUGUUGAUGGCGACCGGCGCAAGGGUGCGUAACGCGUGAGCAACUUGCCCGUUUCAGGGGGAUAACCGGUGGAAACGCCGACUAAUACCCCAUAGUAUCAUAUUCAGGCAUCUUUAUAUGAUUAAAGAAUUUCGGAAACGGAUAGGCUCGCGUGACAUUAGCUAGAUGGCGGGGUAACGGCCCACCAUGGCGACGAUGUCUAGGGGUUCUGAGAGGAAGGUCCCCCACACUGGAACUGAGACACGGUCCAGACUCCUACGGGAGCAGCAGUGAGGAAUAUUGGUCAAUGGGCGCGAGCCUGAACCAGCCAAGUAGCGUGAAGGAUGACUGCCCUACGGGUUGUAAACUUCUUUGUUUGGGAAUAAAUGAUACUACGUGUAGUAUUUUGCAUGUACCUUACGAAUAAGCAUCGGCUAAUUCCGUG
RNAcentral lists this ribosomal RNA (489 nucleotides) under uncultured bacterium. RNAcentral's name for it is "bacterial SSU rRNA". It matches the Rfam family "Bacterial small subunit ribosomal RNA", at positions 28 to 507 of the family's 1533-position model. The record is from RNAcentral.